GAUGUAGCUUAGUGGUAAAGCACUUGCCUAGCAUGUAUAAAGUCCUGGGUUUGAUCCUCAGCACA
This 65-nucleotide transfer RNA is filed under the name Marmota monax (woodchuck). RNAcentral's name for it is "tRNA.Ala". It matches the Rfam family "tRNA", at positions 6 to 65 of the family's 71-position model. Rfam says of the family: Transfer RNA (tRNA) molecules are approximately 80 nucleotides in length. Their secondary structure includes four short double-helical elements and three loops (D, anti-codon, and T loops). The record is from RNAcentral. Lineage: Eukaryota; Metazoa; Chordata; Mammalia; Rodentia; Sciuridae.